RNAcentral lists this long non-coding RNA (2794 nucleotides) under Musa acuminata (dwarf banana). RNAcentral's name for it is "long non-coding RNA (MACU_LNC001630)". Lineage: Eukaryota; Viridiplantae; Streptophyta; Magnoliopsida; Zingiberales; Musaceae. The record is from RNAcentral.
UUUUUCUUAUAUGGAGGUGGGUGCAAGUGGUACCUAUAUAUAUCAUGGCAUGGUAUCAGAAGAUAUCUUCUUGCAUAUACCUUCUGGAUUUUGGGGCUGCAGCGGGAACGAGUUUGUACUAGGACAGUGAUGGUUAACAUCUUCUGGCGUUGACGGGUAGGCUGAUACAAUUUUGUUGUUUUUAUUGGUAUUGGGGUAGACUUUGGAGUUUUAUAUGUAUAUAUAUGGCCUUCGUUCUAUGGGCAUUGUUUGUUUUAUUCAUAAUCGGACUUUGAUCUCGAAUAGAAUAUUCUCAGCAGUCCUUUCUUCUGUGAAUUUCAUUUUCAUAUGAUGUUCUCCUACUUGCAAUGAAACCUGAUGUCAAUAAGCUUUUGUUUGUUGCAUCAUUCACUCCUCUCCGUCCAAUGACAUGCUCACCAGUAAUUGUGGGAUAAGCUACGUAGCACAUAUUGCUCUUGUUAUGCUUCUCUCUGUUUUGCUAGCAGAAGACUUGCUUCUGUUAAUGCUGGUCCAUUUUUAAAGUUAAUUUUAUAUGUUUAUUUGAGGACAUCUUGCAUUUUUCGGUUAUAUUCCAUGAUUUUAUAUGUUAAUUUUGUAUGGUUACUUCCAUGAUAUGUUGAAUACUAUUUGCCAAGUGUUGCAUAUCAAGUAUAAAGGUCUGAAUAUCUGACACUAAACUAAAUCUGAGAAAUACAAGUCUGAAUAGAAUUUUAGAAAAGUGCUAAAGAUAUCUGUGGAUGGAUCAUAUAUUAAGGCCUUCAAGGUCUACUACAUGAUACAACUGUUGCAACUUUUGACUUUAAUGAAAAUUUUCAAGUAAUUUUAACUUACAUACACCAUUUAACUAGUACAUGAAAUAAGUGGGACAAUUUUGUUUUUGUGAGUAGUUGUUGUCCUAUUUAUUGGCAAUAUAAUGCAGUACAUUUUUUUUUCCUUUUCUGUGGAACAUUUACUCUGAUGACAAACUUGUGAUCCUCAUAUGUACUCUUAGUUUGUCUCUGUUAUAUAUUUCUAUUAUGUAUAUAUGUAUUCGUAUGUAUAAAUGUAUAUAUAUUUGUCCACGGAAUUAUGCUUUGCUGAUAUGCUACUGCUGUUAAUCAUGUUAAGUUUGUUUAUUUUGCUUGUUCUAUGUUCACAGAAGGAUGUUGGACCUUUCUUUCUAUUCACUAGGCAAGCUUCUAAGGGAGAAUGAGUACAGAUAGAUUACAUACAUAUGAGGAAUCAAUUUAAGUGGAUAAUAAUGGAGGAAAAAGAGAUGCUUACAAGUUACAAGCAGUAAGUUAGGACAUGGUUCUCUUCAUGACAAAGGAGGAAAAAGUUAAAUUGCACAAACUGGAAUCACUCGGUCAACCCCAAAUAGCUGAGACUUAAACCUAUAAGUAAAUUAAGAUCUAUUAAAAAAUUAAAUGAAAGUCAUACAUUAAACAACUAACCUAGAAAACAUUACAAACAUAAUGUAAGAGAUUAGGUGGUCUCUAGAAAUGCCAAAUUAGAUGAUGCUCAAGAUGAAAACAGAUUAUCCAAAACCCCAAAUGCACAGAUGUGAAUGGCCAUUUCUAACUUCCAAUCAAUCACUUAGUUGCCAAAUACUUGGCUAAAGAAUGGAUGUUAAUGGUCCUAGCAAAAAGGGCACCAUGUCGCUGGAGUUAAGCAAGUUUUUGACAUGGCCACUGGAUGGUUGUGAUUUGUCCUUCUUUUAGAUGGAUGAUUCGGAUUUCCGAGCCCAAGCAGGAGCACGAUCCGGUUCAUAAUGAUAGUUGUAUUAUAGUUCCUCUGCUGCGUUACAUUUGUCUUUUGUGCAAUUUUCCUUUUACAUGCUAGGACUUUUUGUGUUUCCUAACAAAGUUCAAUAAGCAUAUAUCGUGCUCCUUGUCACUAACUUUGUGGAUCGGCAUGGAACCUCGAUAAAUUAAUUUGAUAGCAACAACAGAAGUAGGCUGCUCAUGGUUUUAUUGCACCAUACUUUGCAUGUCAUGAGGUCUGGCAUGCUUUUGGUUACCGUCUUCUAAUUGAAUGCCGCCUUGAAAGUGAGCUCGUCAAAAUUUUAUGUUGUAAGGUCUAACAUCUUCUAAUUUUGUGGCUCCUCGAAAGUGAGCUCAACUAAGUUUUCUGUUGUAAGGUUUAACAUCUUCUAAUUUUGUGCCUCCUCGAGAGUUUGCUCAUCUAAAAUUCUUUUACAUGUUUGCAGCCAUCAAAGUAUGAUGAACUGAAGCCAACUGAUCCAAGCAGCAGCUUUUCACUACAAAAUGAGGAUGCAAAAUUUACCAAGGAAGCAGACUAGUUGCUCGUCUUGAUUAUCAAAACAAAUCCAUCUUUUCAUGAUGACUUCAAAAUGUGGAACCGGUAACAAUCAUUCCUCCGAGAGCUUUAUGGAUCACUAAGAUUCUAGGGUACAACUAGUGUCAAGCUCAUUGUUUCUGAGCCCCCCAAUAUUAACGACUAGUGUGCCAAAACGAAAGAGUUGUCUUCCCAGUCUGCAAAACAAGAAAACUCAAAGAUUUAGGAUAAAUGAACAAAAAGAAAGUGUAUCUUACUUACAGUUGUAGUGAUCAAUUCUUUCCAUCAAAGUAACAAAUGUGAUGAACACUUUAUAAACACAGAUGUAUCGUGUAUUGAAUAUGAUCAAAGACAACUUUGCCAGUUGGAUUGACUUUUUGUUCCAGAUCGAUGUUCUCUGUUAAAAUAAUGGUACAGAUUCCAAUCCAUCUAUAGAUAAUCUCUACAUGCAUUGCAAUGCCCUUUUUCUCGAUAUCACUCUUUGUUUAGUGGCAUGCGGCCAUCCUAUUAACUUCUU